AAAUGCCUCGUCAUCUAAUUAGUGACGCGCAUGAAUGGAUUAACGAGAUUCCCACUGUCCCUACUAACUAUCUGGUGAAACCGCAGCUAGGGGAACGGACCUAGCAAAAUCAGCGGGGAAAGAAGACCCUGUUGAGCUUGACUCUAGUCCGACUUUGUGAAAUGAUUUUAGGAGUGUAGAAUAUGUGGGAGAGAAAUCAAUCUUGAAAUACCACAAUCCUGAAUAUUGUUUUACUUAUUUGAUUAUCAAUAAAACUAUUUAUUGUACCAAUAAUCCCACUGGGAUUAGAUAUUUUUCAAAGACAUUGUCAGAUGGGGAGUUCGGCUGGGGCGGCACAUUUGCUAAAAGAUAACGCAAGUGUCCUAAGAUGAGCUCAUUGAGAACAGAAAUCUCAUGUAGAACAAAAGGGUAAAAGCUCAU
This 420-nucleotide ribosomal RNA is filed under the name uncultured eukaryote. RNAcentral's name for it is "eukaryotic LSU rRNA". It matches the Rfam family "Eukaryotic large subunit ribosomal RNA", at positions 2285 to 2720 of the family's 3401-position model. The record is from RNAcentral.